GAUGAACGCUGGCGGCGUGCCUAAUACAUGCAAGUCGAGCGAACGGACGAGAAGCUUUCUUCUCUGAUGUUAUCGGCGGACGGGUGAGUAACACGUGGAUAACCUACCUAUAAGACUGUGAUAACUUCGGGAAACCGUAGCUAAUACCGGAAAAUUUUUUGCACCGCAUGGUUCAAAAGUGAAAGACGGUCUUGCUGUCACUUAUAGCUGGAUCCGCGCUGCAUUAGCUAGUUGUUAAGGUAACGGCUUACCAAGGCAGCGAUGCAUAGCCGACCUAAGAGGGUGAACGGCCACCCGGGAACUGAGACACGGUCCAGACUCCGAGAGGGAGAAGCAGUAGAGAAUCUUCCGCGAUGGGGGAGAGCCUGACAGAGGAACGCCGCGUGAGUGAUGAAGGUGUUAGGAUCGUAGAGCUCUGUUAGCAGGAGGGAAGAUAUGUGUAAGUAACUGUGAAGAUCUUGACGGUACCUAAUCAGAAAGCCACGGCUAACUACGUG
RNAcentral lists this ribosomal RNA (497 nucleotides) under uncultured bacterium. RNAcentral describes it as "partial 16S ribosomal RNA". It matches the Rfam family "Bacterial small subunit ribosomal RNA", at positions 28 to 507 of the family's 1533-position model. The record is from RNAcentral.